GCUUCUAUAGCACAGUUGGUAGUGCACUUCACUCGUAAUGAAGGGGUCAUCGGUUCGAGUCCGAUUAGAAGCU
Molecule: transfer RNA, 73 nt
Rfam family: tRNA
About the family: Transfer RNA (tRNA) molecules are approximately 80 nucleotides in length. Their secondary structure includes four short double-helical elements and three loops (D, anti-codon, and T loops).
Source: Rfam